RNAcentral lists this ribosomal RNA (671 nucleotides) under Priestia aryabhattai. RNAcentral describes it as "bacterial SSU rRNA". It matches the Rfam family "Bacterial small subunit ribosomal RNA", at positions 65 to 717 of the family's 1533-position model. Lineage: Bacteria; Bacillati; Bacillota; Bacilli; Caryophanales; Bacillaceae. The record is from RNAcentral.
AGCGAACUGAUUAGAAGCUUGCUUCUAUGACGUUAGCGGCGGACGGGUGAGUAACACGUGGGCAACCUGCCUGUAAGACUGGGAUAACUUCGGGAAACCGAAGCUAAUACCGGAUAGGAUCUUCUCCUUCAUGGGAGAUGAUUGAAAGAUGGUUUCGGCUAUCACUUACAGAUGGGCCCGCGGUGCAUUAGCUAGUUGGUGAGGUAACGGCUCACCAAGGCAACGAUGCAUAGCCGACCUGAGAGGGUGAUCGGCCACACUGGGACUGAGACACGGCCCAGACUCCUACGGGAGGCAGCAGUAGGGAAUCUUCCGCAAUGGACGAAAGUCUGACGGAGCAACGCCGCGUGAGUGAUGAAGGCUUUCGGGUCGUAAAACUCUGUUGUUAGGGAAGAACAAGUACGAGAGUAACUGCUCGUACCUUGACGGUACCUAACCAGAAAGCCACGGCUAACUACGUGCCAGCAGCCGCGGUAAUACGUAGGUGGCAAGCGUUAUCCGGAAUUAUUGGGCGUAAAGCGCGCGCAGGCGGUUUCUUAAGUCUGAUGUGAAAGCCCACGGCUCAACCGUGGAGGGUCAUUGGAAACUGGGGAACUUGAGUGCAGAAGAGAAAAGCGGAAUUCCACGUGUAGCGGUGAAAUGCGUAGAGAUGUGGAGGAACACCAGUGGCG